GUGGACGCCAGUCUGCAUGGAGCCGACCUUGAAAUACCACCCUUUAAUGUUUGAUGUUCUAACGUGGACCCGUAAUCCGGGUUGCGGACAGUGUCUGGUGGGUAGUUUGACUGGGGCGGUCUCCUCCUAAAGAGUAACGGAGGAGCACGAAGGUUGGCUAAUCCUGGUCGGACAUCAGGAGGUUAGUGCAAUGGCAUAAGCCAGCUUGACUGCGAGCGUGACGGCGCGAGCAGGUGCGAAAGCAGGUCAUAGUGAUCCGGUGGUUCUGAAUGGAAGGGCCAUCGCUCAACGGAUAAAAGGUACUCCGGGGAUAACAGGCUGAUACCGCCCAAGAGUUCAUAUCGACGGCGGUGUUUGGCACCUCGAUGUCGGCUCAUCACAUCCUGGGGCUGAAGUAGGUCCCAAGGGUAUGGCUGUUCGCCAUUUAAAGUGGUACGCGAGCUGGGUUUAGAACGUCGUGAGACAGUUCGGUCCCUAUCUGCCGUGGGCGCUGGAGAACUGAGGGGGGCUGCUCCUAGUACGAGAGGACCGGAGUGGACGCAUCACUGGUGUUCGGGUUGUCAUGCCAAUGGCACUGCCCGGUAGCUAAAUGCGGAAGAGAUAAGUGCUGAAAGCAUCUAAGCACGAAACUUGCCCCGAGAUGAGUUCUCCCUGAGACUUAGAGUCUCCUGAAGGAACGUUGAA
Molecule: ribosomal RNA, 684 nt
Filed under: Salmonella enterica subsp. enterica serovar Newport
Lineage: Bacteria; Pseudomonadati; Pseudomonadota; Gammaproteobacteria; Enterobacterales; Enterobacteriaceae
Description: partial 23S ribosomal RNA
Rfam family: Bacterial large subunit ribosomal RNA
Source: RNAcentral